This 832-nucleotide ribosomal RNA is filed under the name fungal endophyte. RNAcentral describes it as "eukaryotic LSU rRNA". The stretch from base 498 to 832 matches the Rfam family "Eukaryotic large subunit ribosomal RNA", at positions 1 to 338 of the family's 3401-position model. The record is from RNAcentral. Lineage: Eukaryota; Fungi.
UCAUUAAAGAGUUCUAUAACUCCCAAACCCAUGUGAACAUACCUAACGUUGCCUCGGCAGGUCGCACCUACCUUGUAGCACCCUACCCUGUAGGGCCUACCCGGGAGGUGCGGGUAAGCCUGCCGGCGGCCCACCAAACUCUGUUUGAUAUUGAAUUCUGAACCUAUAACUAAAUAAGUUAAAACUUUCAACAACGGAUCUCUUGGUUCUGGCAUCGAUGAAGAACGCAGCGAAAUGCGAUAAGUAAUGUGAAUUGCAGAAUUCAGUGAAUCAUCGAAUCUUUGAACGCAUAUUGCGCCCAUUAGUAUUCUAGUGGGCAGGACCGUUCGAGCGUCAUUUCAACCCUUAAGCCUUCGUUGCUUAGUGUUGGGAGCCUACGGCAACGUAGCUCCUCAAAGUUAGUGGCGGAGUUAGUUCACACUCUAGACGUAGUAAUUUUUUAUCUCGCCUAUUAGUUGGACUAAUCCCCUGCCGUAAAACCCCCAAUUUAUCAAGGUUGACCUCGAAUCGGUUCAGACAAACUCGCUAAAUUGAAGCAUCUUAGUCAGCGAAGGAAAAGAAACCAACAGGGAUUGCCCUAGUAACGGCGAGUGAAGCGGCAACAGCUCAAAUUUGAAAUCUGGCCCUCGGGUCCGAGUUGUAAUUUGUAGAGGAUGCUUUUGGCGCGGUGCCUUCCGAGUUCCCUGGAACGGGACGCCUUAGAGGGUGAGAGCCCCGUACGGUUGGACACCAAGCCUCUGUAAAGCUCCUUCGACGAGUCGAGUAGCUUGGGAAUGCUGCUCUAAAUGGGAGGUAAAUUUCUUCUAAAGCUAAAUAUUGGCCAGAGACCGAU